UACAGAGGGUGCAAGCGUUAAUCGGAAUUACUGGGCGUAAAGCGUGCGCAGGCGGUUCGUUAUGUCCGUUGUGAAAGCCCCGGGCUCAACCUGGGAAUGGCAAUGGAAACUGGCGGGCUAGAGUGUGGCAGAGGGGGGUGGAAUUCCGCGUGUAGCAGUGAAAUGCGUAGAGAUGCGGAGGAAUACCGAUGGCGAAGGCAGGUCUCUGGGCUGACACUGACGCUCAUGCACGAAAGCGUGGGGAGCAAACAGG
RNAcentral lists this ribosomal RNA (253 nucleotides) under uncultured bacterium. Its description in RNAcentral is "partial 16S ribosomal RNA". It matches the Rfam family "Bacterial small subunit ribosomal RNA", at positions 524 to 776 of the family's 1533-position model. The record is from RNAcentral.